This 497-nucleotide ribosomal RNA is filed under the name uncultured bacterium. RNAcentral's name for it is "partial 16S ribosomal RNA". It matches the Rfam family "Bacterial small subunit ribosomal RNA", at positions 28 to 507 of the family's 1533-position model. The record is from RNAcentral.
GAUGAACGCUGGCGGCGUGCCUAAUACAUGCAAGUCGAGCGAACGGACGAGAAGCUUGCUUCUCUGAUGUUAGCGGCGGACGGGCGAGUAACACGUGGAUAACCUACCUAUAAGACUGGGAUAACUUCGGGAAACCGGAGCUAAUACCGGAUAAUAUUUUGAACCGCAUGGUUCAAAAGUGAAAGACGGUCUUGCUGUCACUUAUAGAUGGAUCCGCGCUGCAUUAGCUAGUUGGUAAGGUAACGGCUUACCAAGGCAACGAUGCAUAGCCGAGCUGAGAGGGUGAUCGGCCACACUGGAACUGAGACACGGUCCAGACUCCUACGGGAGGCAGCAGUAGGGAAUCUUCCGCAAUGGGCGAAAGCCUGACGGAGCAACGCCGCGUGAGUGAUGAAGGUCUUCGGGUCGUAAAACUCUGUUAUUAGGGAAGAACAUAUGUGUAAGUAACUGUGCACAUCUUGACGGUACCUAAUCAGAAAGCCACGGCUAACUACGUG